Molecule: ribosomal RNA, 253 nt
Filed under: uncultured bacterium
Lineage: Bacteria
Description: partial 16S ribosomal RNA
Rfam family: Bacterial small subunit ribosomal RNA
Source: RNAcentral
UACGAGGGGGGCAAGUGUUGUUCGGAAUCACUGGGCGUAAAGGGAGCGUAGGCGGGCUUCUAAGUUAGGUGUUUAAUCCCAGGGCCCAACCCUGGUCAGGCACCUAAAACUGGGAGUCUUGAAUAGUGGAGAGGACGAUGGAAUUGGGGGUGUAGCGGUGGAAUGCGUAGAGAUCCCCAAGAACACCAGUUGCGAAGGCGGUCGUCUGGACACAUAUUGACGCUGAGGCUCGAAAGCAUGGGGAGCAAACAGG